CUCUGGGUAUUUUGGGGAGCUGUCAGCUGUAGCAGACCCACUUCCUAGCCACGGAAGAGCAUGUUCUUGCUUAUGGCAAAGCUGUCGCCAGCUGAUUGGUAUCCGAUUCUGAUUUGCAUAGGGUAACAUUC
Acomys russatus (golden spiny mouse) is the source of this 131-nucleotide small nucleolar RNA. RefSeq annotates it as small nucleolar RNA SNORA24. NCBI's taxonomy places the organism in Eukaryota, Metazoa, Chordata, Mammalia, Rodentia, Muridae. The record is from RefSeq and is a predicted model, not a curated record. The transcript has a single exon.